Molecule: long non-coding RNA, 913 nt
Filed under: Fragaria vesca (wild strawberry)
Lineage: Eukaryota; Viridiplantae; Streptophyta; Magnoliopsida; Rosales; Rosaceae
Description: long non-coding RNA (FVES_LNC002797)
Source: RNAcentral
UUCUUCGGCAACCGUGUCGUCAAGCAGACGUGAUUUUGGAGUCUUUUCGUUGACAAACAAGACAAUUGAUCAGUAUGCUUUCCCGGAAGAUCAUUCCUGUACCCGAUUAAAUACUCAACCUGUCUGGUUCACUCCAGACUUCUAUCAGCCUGAUUGAAUCAGCUUCUUUAUGAUUAUCUUUCAGCACAUUUGCAGGUUGUAUAUACUUUGUCUAGUCCAAAUGAAUUAAUCGGAAGAUGGAUCUGUUCAUUUAUGCAAAAGGAGAGUUGUGAGUAUUGCAAUUUUUUAACAGCAAUGAAUCCCUUGUGUCUGGUAUGAAUUGCAACUUCCUGAAUCAACGUUUGGCACAGUGACUUGCCAAGUCUUUGUGGAGAAAUUUUUCAGUGCUACGGGAGGACCACGUGGCAGUCUGACGUGGUCCUACUUUCUAAUCAAAUUUAGACAUGUAGAUUUUCUUCCCGAAAAAUUAUUUCAGCUAUUUUGUCAAAGACCAUUUUAGGUUUUCUGUUGUUUUUUUAAUACUAAACCCUAAGCCCUAAACCCCAAACCCUAAACCCUAUACCCUAAUCCCUAAUCCCUAAACCCUAUACCCUAAACCCUAACCCUAAACUUUAAACCCUAUACCCUAGACCCUAGUUUGAACUUGCUAAAUACCCAUGAAUGUCAUUUCACAAAAAAUAGAAAAUAUUUGUUUAUAUUUUAGUUGUAAUCCACAUGUUUAAAUUUGAUUGGAACAUAGAACCACGUCACACUGUCACAUGGUCCUCCCGUAGCAUUUAAAAAUUUCUCAGUCUUUGUGUCCCUUCUUGAAUUUUGGACUAAUUUCUAGUUUUGUUUUCGUCCUGUUUAGGGUUAUUCAUUAACUUUCUUUCUACAUAUUAGUAAGGAAUCGUAUCCAGAACAUUCAUUAACC